GUUGAACGCUGGCGGCAGGCCUAACACAUGCAAGUCGAACGGCAGCACAGAAGAGCUUGCUCUUUGGGUGGCGAGUGGCGGACGGGUGAGUAAUGUCUGGGGAACUGCCCGAUGGAGGGGGAUAACUACUGGAAACGGUAGCUAAUACCGCAUAACGUCGCGAGACCAAAGUGGGGGACCUUCGGGCCUCACACCAUCGGAUGUGCCCAGAUGGGAUUAGCUAGUAGGUGGGGUAAUGGCUCACCUAGGCGACGAUCCCUAGCUGGUCUGAGAGGAUGACCAGCCACACUGGAAAUGAGACACGGUCCAGACUCCUACGGGAGGCAGCAGUGGGGAAUAUUGCACAAUGGGCGCAAGCCUGAUGCAGCCAUGCCGCGUGUAUGAAGAAGGCCUUCGGGUUGUAAAGUACUUUCAGCGGGGAGGAAGGCGGUGAGGUUAAUAACCUCGCCGAUUGACGUUACCCGCAGAAGAAGCACCGGCUGACUCCGUGCCAGCCGCCGCGGUAA
Molecule: ribosomal RNA, 506 nt
Filed under: uncultured bacterium
Lineage: Bacteria
Description: partial 16S ribosomal RNA
Rfam family: Bacterial small subunit ribosomal RNA
Source: RNAcentral